GAUUAAGAACGCAGCGAAAUGCGAUAAGUAAUGUGAAUUGCAGAAUUCAGUGAAUCAUCGAAUCUUUGAACGCACAUUGCGCCCCUUGGUAUUCCGAGGGGCAUGCCUGUUCGAGCGUCAUAUUAACCACUCCCGCUUGCGGGGUCUUGGGCUUCGCCUCCGGGCGGGCCUUAAAAUCAGUGGCGGUGCCGUCGGGCUCUACGCGUAGUAAAUUUUCUCGCGAUAGGGUCCCGGUGGAUGCUUGCCAACAACCCCCAACUUCUUAAGGUUGACCUCGGAUCAGGUAGGGAUACCCGCUGAACUUAAGCAUAUCAAUAAGCGGAGGA
This 326-nucleotide unclassified non-coding RNA is filed under the name soil metagenome. Its description in RNAcentral is "partial contains 5.8S ribosomal RNA, internal transcribed spacer 2, and large subunit ribosomal RNA". The stretch from base 1 to 120 matches the Rfam family "5.8S ribosomal RNA", at positions 35 to 154 of the family's 154-position model. The record is from RNAcentral.